RNAcentral lists this ribosomal RNA (439 nucleotides) under uncultured bacterium. RNAcentral's name for it is "partial 16S ribosomal RNA". It matches the Rfam family "Bacterial small subunit ribosomal RNA", at positions 339 to 795 of the family's 1533-position model. The record is from RNAcentral.
CUACGGGCCGCACCAGCGGGGAAUAUUGCACAAUGGGGGAAACCCUGAUGCAGCAACGCCGCGUGGAGGAUGACGCAUUUCGGUGUGUAAACUCCUUUUAUAUCCCAAGAUAAUGACGGUGGGAUAUGAAUAAGCACCGGCUAACUCCGUGCCAGCGGCCGCGGUAAUACGGAGGGUGCAAGCGUUACUCGGAAUCACUGGGCGUAAAGGGCGCGUAGGCGGGUUGUCAAGUCUUGAGUGAAAUCCAACGGCUCAACCGUUGAACUGCUUGAGAAACUGGCAGCCUAGAGUAAGGGAGAGGUAGAUGGAAUUGGUGGUGUAGGGGUAAAAUCCGUAGAGAUCACCAGGAAUACCCAUUGCGAAGGCGAUCUGCUGGAACUUUACUGACGCUGAGGCGCGAAAGCGUGGGGAGCAAACAGGAUUAGAUACCCUCGUAGUC